This 372-nucleotide ribosomal RNA is filed under the name uncultured bacterium. RNAcentral describes it as "bacterial SSU rRNA". It matches the Rfam family "Bacterial small subunit ribosomal RNA", at positions 524 to 898 of the family's 1533-position model. The record is from RNAcentral.
GACGAAGGAUGCAAGCGUUAUCCGGAUUCAUUGGGUUUAAAGGGAGCGUAGGCGGAUAGGUAAGUCAGUGGUGAAAUCCCAUCGCUUAACGAUGGAACUGCCAUUGAUACUGCUUAUCUAGAGUACAGUUGCCGUUGGCGGAAUAUGACAUGUAGUGGUGAAAUACUUAGAUAUGUCAUAGAACACCGAUUGCGAAGGCAGCUAACGAAGCUGUAACUGACGCUGAGGCUCGAAAGUGCGGGGAUCAAACAGGAUUAGAUACCCUGGUAGUCCGCACUGUAAACGAUGAUCACUCGCUGCUGGGGGGUAACCUUCAGUGGCCAAGCGAAAGCGAUAAGUGAUCCACCUGGGGAGUACGCCGGCAACGGUGAA